AAUCAACGCUGGCGGCGUGCCUCAGACAUGCAAGUCGAACGCGAAAGUCCCCUUCGGGGGACAAGUAGAGUGGCGCACGGGUGAGUAACACGUAGGUAAUCUACCUUCGGAUGGGGAAUAACAAUCGGAAACGGUUGCUAAUACCGCAUAAUGCAGCGGCACCUAAUGGUGACAGUUGUUAAAGCGGGGGAGUCGAAAGACCUCGCGUCUGAAGAGGAGCCUGCGGCGGAUUAGCUAGUUGGUAAGGUAAUGGCUUACCAAGGCGACGAUCCGUAACCGGCCUGAGAGGGCGGUCGGUCACACUGACACUGACAUACGGGUCAGACUCCUACGGGAGGCAGCAGUCGGGAAUUUUGGGUCAAUGGGCGAAAGCCUGACCCAGCAACGCCGCGUGAAGG
Molecule: ribosomal RNA, 398 nt
Filed under: uncultured bacterium
Lineage: Bacteria
Description: bacterial SSU rRNA
Rfam family: Bacterial small subunit ribosomal RNA
Source: RNAcentral